This 322-nucleotide ribosomal RNA is filed under the name uncultured Chloroflexota bacterium. RNAcentral describes it as "bacterial SSU rRNA". It matches the Rfam family "Bacterial small subunit ribosomal RNA", at positions 28 to 351 of the family's 1533-position model. The record is from RNAcentral. Lineage: Bacteria; Bacillati; Chloroflexota.
GAUGAACGCUGGCGGCGUGCUUAAUACAUGCAAGUCGAACGGAGGUAUGUAGCAAUACGUAUCUUAGUGGCGAACGGGUGAGUAACACGUUGGUGACCUACCCCAGAGAGGGGGAUAACAGCUCGAAAGGGCUGCUAAUACCCCAUGUCGUCAUGGUGCUUAGAAAGCCAUGCCGAAAGGUGCAAACCGCUCUGGGAGGGGCCUGCGUCCCAUCAGCUAGUUGGUGAGGUAAAAGCCCACCAAGGCGAUGACGGGUAGGGACCUGAGAGGGUGGCCCCCCACAAUGGAACUGAAACACGGUCCAUACACCUACGGGUGGCUG